Molecule: long non-coding RNA, 448 nt
Organism: Oncorhynchus keta (chum salmon)
Lineage: Eukaryota; Metazoa; Chordata; Actinopteri; Salmoniformes; Salmonidae
Exons: 2
Source: RefSeq, a predicted model, not a curated record
CUUCAAUCCAUACAGAAAAAAAGCGGUGACGCAGUACACACGAAGACCGCUAUUCGUCGCUCAGGAAACGGACUGUGCUCGAGACCGAUUGCAUUAUGAACAAAUUUCGCCUAGGCAUGCGAACAAUUAUGCAUUGCUACUCAAUUUAAGAACAGGCCAUUUAUUUCAGUUGUAAUGCUUAAUAUUAUUGAGAUAUUAGAUUCCGUGUUAGCAGUGAGCUAGCUAGCUAUCUAUCAAGCAUCUUCUGACAGUGACAUUUAUGUCUCUGCCUUGUGCGGUGUUCUCCUUCUUGGAAUGGGAUCGCAGACUGAUGUUCCGAACAGCUUAGUGAUUCAAACGAACAAAUCCAGAUCCUCCGUCUCUGAGUGACGCAGCUAUGUAUGUGUUUGGGCCCCAUGGUUGACUGCCAGGUGUGUGUAGUGUUUUUAUUCCCCGUGCUCCUCCAUAG